UACCCAGCAACUCCUACCCCUACCCCCUCGUGGUACCGUUCGGAAACUAUGAGCAACCUUAGGAAAGAUUGGGUAAUCAACCCCGGUGGGAACUUUGGUCGUAGGCUGAUAGGGAAGG
Molecule: non-coding RNA, 118 nt
Organism: Aedes albopictus (Asian tiger mosquito)
Lineage: Eukaryota; Metazoa; Arthropoda; Insecta; Diptera; Culicidae
Source: Rfam